UCCCUGGUGGUCCAGUGGCUAGUACUCCACACUACCAGUGCGGAGAACUUGGGUUCGAUUCCUGAUCAGGGAA
Ovis aries (sheep) is the source of this 73-nucleotide transfer RNA. It matches the Rfam family "tRNA". Rfam says of the family: Transfer RNA (tRNA) molecules are approximately 80 nucleotides in length. Their secondary structure includes four short double-helical elements and three loops (D, anti-codon, and T loops). Further hydrogen bonds mediate the characteristic L-shaped molecular structure. tRNAs have two regions of fundamental functional importance: the anti-codon, which is responsible for specific mRNA codon recognition, and the 3' end, to which the tRNAs corresponding amino acid is attached (by aminoacyl-tRNA synthetases). tRNAs cope with the degeneracy of the genetic code in two manners: having more than one tRNA (with a specific anti-codon) for a particular amino acid; and 'wobble' base-pairing, i.e. permitting non-standard base-pairing at the 3rd anti-codon position. The record is from Rfam. NCBI's taxonomy places the organism in Eukaryota, Metazoa, Chordata, Mammalia, Artiodactyla, Bovidae.